Non-coding RNA from Triticum urartu, 94 nucleotides. The record is from Rfam. NCBI's taxonomy places the organism in Eukaryota, Viridiplantae, Streptophyta, Magnoliopsida, Poales, Poaceae.
GGGGUGGUGGCGCAGUUGGCUAGCGCGCAGGUCUCAUAGCUGUCUAACAGCGAGUGAUCCUGAGGUCGAGAGUUCGAGCCUCUCUCUCACCCCA